UGGGGAAUAUUGGACAAUGGGGGAAACCCUGAUCCAGCAAUGCCGCGUGAGUGAAGAAGGCCUUAGGGUUGUAAAGCUCUUUCGCCCGCGAAGAUAAUGACGGUAGCGGGAGAAGAAGCCCCGGCUAACUCCGUGCCAGCAGCCGCGGUAAUACGGAGGGGGCUAGCGUUGUUCGGAAUUACUGGGCGUAAAGCGUACGUAGGCGGAUGCGCAAGUUGGGGGUGAAAUCCCGGGGCUUAACCUCGGAAUUGCCCUCAAAACUGCACGGCUUGAGACCGAGAGAGGUAAGGGGAAUUCCUAGUGUAGAGGUGAAAUUCGUAGAUAUUAGGAAGAGCACCAGUGGCGAAGGCGCCUUACUGGCUCGGUACUGACGCUGAGGUACGAAAGCGUGGGGAGCAAACAG
RNAcentral lists this ribosomal RNA (403 nucleotides) under uncultured bacterium. RNAcentral's name for it is "bacterial SSU rRNA". It matches the Rfam family "Bacterial small subunit ribosomal RNA", at positions 355 to 775 of the family's 1533-position model. The record is from RNAcentral.